AGAUUGAACGCUGGCGGCAUGCCUAACACAGCAAGUCGAACGGUAACAGGAACAGCUUGCUAUUUGCUGACGAGUGGCGGACGGGUGAGUAAUGUAUAGGAACUUGCCUAGUAGUGGGGGACAACUUAUGGAAACGUAAGCUAAUACCGCAUAAUCUCUACGGAGGAAAGUGGGGGACCUUUCGGGGCCUCACGCUAUUAGAUAGGCCUAUAUCAGAUUAGCUAGUUGGUGAGGUAAUGGCUCACCAAGGCGACGAUCUGUAGCUGGUUUGAGAGAAUGAUCAGCCACACUGGGACUGAGACACGGCCCAGACUCCUACGGGAGGCAGCAGUGGGGAAUAUUGCACAAUGGAGGAAACUCUGAUGCAGCAAUGCCGCGUGUGUGAAGAAGGCCUUAGGGUUGUAAAGCACUUUCAAUAGGGAGGAAAAGUUAGUAGUUAAUAACUGCUAGCCGUGACGUUACCUAUAGAAGAAGGACCGGCUAACUCCGUGCCAGCAGCCGCGGUAAUACGGAGGGUCCGAGCGUUAAUCGGAAUUACUGGGCGUAAAGCGCGCGUAGGCGGUUUACUCAGUCAGAUGUGAAAGCCCCGGGCUCAACCUGGGAACUGCAUUUGAUACUGGUAGGCUAGAGUAUGGUAGAGGUGAGUGGAAUUUCAGGUGUAGCGGUGAAAUGCGUAGAGAUCUGAAGGAACAUCAGUGGCGAAGGCGACUCACUGGGCCAUUACUGACGCUGAGGUGCGAAAGCGUGGGUAGCAAACAGGAUUAGAUACCCUGGUAGUCCACGCCCUAAACGAUGUCAACUAGGUGUGUGAGAGUUUAUCUCUUGCGUAUCGAAGCUAACGCGAUAAGUUGACCGCCUGGGGAGUACGGUCGCAAGACUA
RNAcentral lists this ribosomal RNA (880 nucleotides) under uncultured bacterium. RNAcentral describes it as "bacterial SSU rRNA". It matches the Rfam family "Bacterial small subunit ribosomal RNA", at positions 26 to 896 of the family's 1533-position model. The record is from RNAcentral.